AUGCACGCUGGCGGCGUGCCUAAUACCUGCAAGUCGAGCGAACAGACGAGGAGCUUGCUCCUCUGACGUUAGCGGCGGACGGGUGAGUAACACGUGGAUAACCUACCUAUAAGACUGGGAUAACUUCGGGAAACCGGAGCUAAUACCGGAUAAUAUAUUGAACCGCAUGGUUCAAUAGUGAAAGACGGUUUUGCUUUCACUUAUAGAUGGAUCCGCGCCGCAUUAGCUAGUUGGUAAGGUAACGGCUUACCAAGGCAACGAUGCGUAGCCGACCUGAGAGGGUGAUCGGCCACACUGGAACUGAGACACGGUCCAGACUCCUACGGGAGGCAGCAGUAGGGAAUCUUCCGCAAUGGGCGAAAGCCUGACGGAGCAACGCCGCGUGAGUGAUGAAGGUCUUCGGAUCGUAAAACUCUGUUAUUAGGGAAGAACAAAUGUGUAAGUAACUAUGCACGUCUUGACGGUACCUAAUCAGAAAGCCACGGCUAACUACGUG
This 496-nucleotide ribosomal RNA is filed under the name uncultured bacterium. Its description in RNAcentral is "partial 16S ribosomal RNA". It matches the Rfam family "Bacterial small subunit ribosomal RNA", at positions 29 to 507 of the family's 1533-position model. The record is from RNAcentral.